UACGAAGGACCCGAGCGUUAUCCGGAUUUAUUGGGUUUAAAGGGUGCGUAGGCGGAUUUACAAGUCAGUGGUGAAAUCUCCCAGCUUAACUGGGAAACUGCCAUUGAAACUGUUUAUCUUGAGUACAUUUGAGGCGGGCGGAAUGUGUCAUGUAGAGGUGAAAUUCUUAGAUAUGACACAGAACACCAAUUGCGAAGGCAGCUCGCUAAACUGUAACUGACGCUGAGGCACGAAAGCGUGGGGAUCAAACAGG
RNAcentral lists this ribosomal RNA (253 nucleotides) under uncultured bacterium. RNAcentral's name for it is "partial 16S ribosomal RNA". It matches the Rfam family "Bacterial small subunit ribosomal RNA", at positions 524 to 776 of the family's 1533-position model. RNAcentral also lists the same sequence under 2 other names. The record is from RNAcentral.